Long non-coding RNA from Capsicum annuum, 654 nucleotides. RefSeq lists it as uncharacterized. The record is from RefSeq and is a predicted model, not a curated record. Lineage: Eukaryota; Viridiplantae; Streptophyta; Magnoliopsida; Solanales; Solanaceae. The transcript is spliced from 2 exons.
UUUAUAAAUAUUAAUAUUGUGUAGGUUCACUUGGUAACAAGCCACCUGGUAACAAUUUUUUUUAUCCGAUUAAGUGCACAACACAGCACAACAUGACACUUCCUUUUAUAACUUGCACAACACUUACUACACAUUUUUAUCCGAUUAAGUGCACAGUACAUUCUCCUAUUCCUAAACAAGCCAUCUGGUAACAUAGCUUACCAAAACAGUUUAGGAUCAAUGUCUUUCUUUCAAAAAAUAAACAAAGGAAUUACACAUAUUUGUUUUUAAAAAACAAUGGUCGGAUCUAAAAUUCGGUGGCGCGACUGAGCAAAUCAAGUCUCAAUUUUGGUGCGACUAAUCGGAACCAAAGCUUGUUGCUUCUGACUGGAUCUCCAAAAUUUUCGAUGACAUCCGAUUAUAAACUUUUUCUAACAGAAAAAACUGGGGUUUUGCGAGUUGUUCCAGGCAAAACACUCCUUUUACAUGGAACGGAGCGCAUGUGAAAGCCAACUCUUGUGACUUGAUAUAUGUUUUAACACAGUGGGUUACUGUUGGGAACAAAAUUAAGUAGCAUUGUAUUAUAUAUGUAUAGGGAAGUUUGUUUCGCCGCUAUAAACUUGGUGAUGCCAUUCGUGCUUAAAUAAAUGAAAGUAAAAUGUGUUUAAUAUGUGA